CUUGGAGUAGCUCAGUUGGUUAAAGCAUGUGGCUGUUAACCACAAGGUCGAUGGUUCAAGUCCUUCCUUUAGCG
Molecule: transfer RNA, 74 nt
Organism: Ipomoea nil (Japanese morning glory)
Lineage: Eukaryota; Viridiplantae; Streptophyta; Magnoliopsida; Solanales; Convolvulaceae
Rfam family: tRNA
About the family: Transfer RNA (tRNA) molecules are approximately 80 nucleotides in length. Their secondary structure includes four short double-helical elements and three loops (D, anti-codon, and T loops).
Source: Rfam